This 429-nucleotide ribosomal RNA is filed under the name Bacteroidota bacterium. Its description in RNAcentral is "Bacteroidetes bacterium partial 16S ribosomal RNA". It matches the Rfam family "Bacterial small subunit ribosomal RNA", at positions 355 to 776 of the family's 1533-position model. Lineage: Bacteria; Pseudomonadati; Bacteroidota. The record is from RNAcentral.
UAGGGAAUCUUCCGCAAUGGACGCAAGUCUGACGGAGCAACGCCGCGUGAGUGAAGAAGGAUUUCGGUUCGUAAAACUCUGUUGUUAGAGAAGAACAGCGCAUAGAGUAACUGUUAUGCGUGUGACGGUAUCUAACCAGAAAGCCACGGCUAACUACGUGCCAGCAGCCGCGGUAAUACGUAGGUGGCAAGCGUUGUCCGGAUUUAUUGGGCGUAAAGCGAGCGCAGGCGGUCAAUUAAGUCUGAUGUGAAAGCACCCGGCUCAACCGGGGAGGGUCAUUGGAAACUGGUUGACUUGAGUGCAGAAGAGGAGAGUGGAAUUCCAUGUGUAACGGUGAAAUGCGUAGAUAUAUGGAGGAACACCAGUGGCGAAGGCGACUCUCUGGUCUGUAACUGACGCUGAGGCUCGAAAGCGUGGGUAGCAAACAGG